UCAAGAUAUAUUACAUCCAUGUAUACAAUUUCCCAAGAAUAAAUUAAAGAUUAGAAAAAAUCCUCAGUGGAUUGACAUCAAUAUUCUGGGAAUAGAAAUUGCCCAGGACAUAGAGGAACGGGGUGGAACACUGAGUUUUGUGACAUACUCAGACAGGCUAGGUAGAGUUGGAGAACAUCUCUGAAAGCAAGGGACUUAAAAGUUGAAAGGGGAUUAAAAAGAAAAAUGGAAAAAAAGAAAAUCUGGCUUUAUUUGAAGGUUUUCUCUGGCAUUUGGUGGCAACAUGCUUAUCUGGGGCUUUGCUACUGGGUCCAAAGGUCCCACAAGCCAUCUCCUCUCAGUUUAAUGUGUCCUCCUCUCCCCCAAUUGGGACCCAGGUCCGUGCUCCAUGGGUAUCUGGCAAGGAAGCACGAGAGGAAGAGAGUUCUGUCUAAAAAAAGGCCUGGUCAUCAUAGACAGUACUUGACUUCACUGCCAACCAAGUACGGGGUUGCAACGAAAAACGUUUAGCAGCCUUGGGCCCCUACAGCUUUACUAAAAAAGACCCUUCCUCAUUUUCAGCCCCACCAAAAUCUUUAUUUAUUUAUUUUUGGAUUCCCAUCCCGAAUGUGGUCACUAACAGCAACGCAGGAGGCCCUCUUCCUCCUCUCCCUGUUCAGCUUUGGCUAGCAUCUCUGUCCCAGCUCCUCCACUCUUCCUUGGAGUGAAUGCGAUAGUUGGGCUUGUUUUGAGCAGACACUCACCGCAGAGGAUUCAUCAGGGAGGGAACAGAGAGCCGCAGACGAGCACGGAUUCACCCCUGUACUAAACCGGAAAGCCAGCGCUCCACCCAAGUCUGCAGAUUCUUUCCCAGGAGGCUUAGACUGAGUUCUCCUGAGUCAAGCAGACUCCUUCGGCUUGGCUUGAUGGAGAUUCUGUGGCUCCCUCUGCAGACCUCUCAGAGCCCUUGCAGAGUUCGAAUAACCUAAGCGUGGCCUCCAGCUCUCCGUGUUUUCAGGGAAUUCAUUAUAGUUAGUUCUCCAUUGCUCACUUUACAAUGGGGCUAUCUUGGCUCCGUUGGCUGGCAUUCAUUUGUCUCCGCCGUCUGCUUUGUUCCCCACUCUCUAGGUCCAGCACCCAGCUACUACUGCUGAAUCUUGUAUGCAGUGUUUUUCUCUCCAGUCCUGAACUCUGCCUCACUUGGCUUCGAUUCCUUAAUACAUUUUUUUAAAAAUCUGAGAUGGAGUGAGAGAGCUAAAAGGAUGUAAGCUGCUCUUCCAAAGUUAUGUCCAUAGCUGAAAAUGUGAACUGGAAAAUAUAGCAGUUAGCUUGGGUUUCCUUAGGCUGACCAGAGAUAUUUAUCCGCAAAUGAUGAAAAAUGGGCAGAAUGUGCAAUUCUAAGGGGACUGGAUUAAGCAAGCUUAUUCUUCUUGCCUGGGGUGAUGAAUAACGAACUCCCCUGUUGGUUUUUCCAUCUGGACUCCUUCAUGCUGACUGUCUAUGCUCCAUGUGGGGAAGUUGGGGUGGGCGGAGACCAGAAGCUGUCCCAUGGGAAAACUGGGUUGUAUGGAAGCAACAGCAAUGACAACAGAAUUUGAAUUGUUCUUAAUUCUCUUCAUUUAGCUCUCUGCCCUAGAUUUCACUGUCUAUGUUGAUCUGUGCCCCCCAAACCCAAAAAGGUUUCAUGGAGGAUGUGCUGCUUGCUUUUUCUCCCUGGAAAGGACCUGUAACAUCUCGGCACACAAGCCAAAACAUUUUUCCAACCUUUCUCUCAAACUCCUGGUGUUUUUCCUCAAAACCAGAUGCACUCUUCCCCCCAAGAAAGGGAAAGGUCUGUGUGGCUGGGUCCUGUUCUCUACAAAAUGGCACACUGUCCCUUCUUUGACAAAUCCCUGACCCAUGGGUGGAUCUUGGGGCAGUCAGGGUUCUGGGGAGCCCUUGUUGGCCAUGGCCUCUUUUCAGCAAGGUUACAUGGAACUCUUAGCACUAAUGUCUCAUGGUAGCUUCACCCAGCAGGUGAAGGACAUGGGGUGGUUGCCUUCCCCUUAUUCCUAAUCAAACGCCAGCCGCAGCCUGACUCCCUAAGUUAUCUUCUGUUUUGAGUGUUGGCACCGUUCACCCUGCACCACUGACAUCCACAAACUGGGCAUUCUGUCUCUACUAAGUUCUACAUGGGAUUUAAUCAAUAGCCACGCUGGAGCUUGGAAAACCAAUACAAAAAGAGUUAGAUAUCAGAAUGGCUUGCUCUUAGUCUUCACUAUCUUUGUGUGAGUCAAUUCCUCAAGCUGUUGCUGCUGCCUAGCACCCAAGUCCCCCAGCUGUGUCUCCUUCCAUCUUGGCUGUAGCGUUUCUCCUUCCUCUCAUUUCUCAAUAAAUCACUGAGGAGCUGCUCCCCGUGGAGUAUUAUGACCAUGGCUGAUGAUGGCUUCAUUCUGAGAGCAACUUAACUCAGAGACUGCCUGUAAAAAUAGACGAAUAAAAGUUUCAGGUCCACCAACAACCACGGAGGGAGUUAUUUUUGAUCAGUGGUAAUCAUCUCCAGUGACCAUAACAUCAGCUGUGGAAAGCUUAUAUCCUCAGGGUGUUCACAAAACUAUAACUAUGAUAGAUUUUUCUCACUUAUUAGAGAAUAAUAAUCCUAGAAGUAGUGUCUGUAGAGAUCGUACUUGCCCAGGGAUUGGCUCCCACCUUUGUCAAUCAAUAACCAUUAAGUGGAGGAAACUGAAUAGAUUAGCAGCUCUGAGGCAAAACACAUUGUUGGAGCUGAGCCAUUCAGGACUAAAUCCAGAUGCAGGAGUCCCAGGGCUUGUCCACAGGCUGUAGGAAGCCCCCUCUUCAGGGGACAAUGUUUUCAUUCUGCUUUAGGUAGCACACUCUAAAAUCUCCUAUGUUUGCAUCCCUUCCCGUCUCUUCUAUGUCUGUGUCUUUGUAGAGAAUGCUCUCACUUUGACAGUCUGAACGAGUUCCUUGGACCACAGUUAUACUAAAGCUACUACAACUUCAUGGCUUAAAAAUGACAGAAAUGUAUUCCCUUAGAGUUGGGAAGGCCAGAAGUCCAAAAUCAAGGUGCUGCCAUGGCGAGGUCACUUUGGAAGUUCUGAGGUAGAAUCCAUUGCAUGCCUGCCUCCUAGCUUCUGGUAGAAUCUGGAAACUCUAUGUGCUUUGACCUAGGUUUACAUAGCCCUUUGUCUUCACACAGCUUUCCAUUCUGAGAUUUCACAUCUAUUUCCUCUUCUCUUACAAAGAUGCUAGUUAUUGGACUUAGCCCCUCCACGCUCCCAAGGAUGAGUUCAUUUUAAGGUAGUUAACUUUAUUACGCCUGCAGAAAGUUUUUUUUUCUGAGUAAGAUCACACUAAAAAUAUAAGAUUUAGGCCGGGCGGUGGUGGCUCACGCCUUUAAUCCCAGCACUCAGGAGGCAGAGGCAGGCCGAUCUCUGUGAGUUCGAGGCCGGGCAAGGACUGAUGGCGGGAGAAUGACACAGUUCAUCCUGUCUCUCAAUCUAAGGGGAACAAUGCCAAGUGUGUGAAGGAGAAACACGUGACUCUGAAGGCAUUUAUUUCUUUUAUUAUUUAUUACUUUUGCCAGUGAUUGGCUCUGGAUUUUGGUUAAAUGUCUUGCCACUCUGUGCCUCAUCUGCUUAAAAAUGGAACAAAAACCAACCUUUAUAGAAAUAUAGACAUCCUCACAGUACGAUUAGGAUGUGAUCAGAGAGUUGUAGUGUUCAGGACAGCCCUACCAUAGUAAAAUACUUGUUUGUUUGAUUCCCUCUAUUACGAGAGCAGUCUCUGUUCUGUCAUCUAGGAUUUGACAUCUGAGAAAUUAGGCAUUUCAGCUAGUUGUGUUUACUGUAAGUAAAUGUCUACUAAUUUCUUAAGUGUUUUAUAAAACUUUUCUUGGUUCUUUGUGGUCAACAAGAAAUCAACAAAUGUUGUUAAUUAUUAAAUGUUUUUAUGAAACUGGAAACUUCAAGUUAAAGGAGUCCCAGAGAAGGAGAAAAUGAAGCUUUCUUGAGAAAUUCUUCUUGGGUGUGAGUGAAAAGGCGGGGUUAACAAGCAGAGUGGGCUUGAUGUUCCUGCUGGUUUGAUGAACAUUUGCUUUGGCCGUGUGACUGUUCCCAAGGCUAUCAACAGCCAGGCCAGUCAGGACAAGGCCCCGGCAGGGGGAAAGCACGAGCGGUCUGGGGUCCAAAGGAGCAUCAGAGAGUUCUCUGCACACGCACAAGGAAGGAAAGGAGGCUGGGAAGUCAGGGCUUCCCAGGAGCCUGGAGCUCUUUUCCAAGAACGCUUCUUUUUUUAAUGAGACACGAUCUUAUUCUAUAGGGCAAGCUGGCCUCAAACCCGUGAUCAGUUUGCCUUGGUCUCCCGAUGAUGCUUUGACUAUAGAUGUUGGCUAUCAUAUCUGGGUUUCAAGCAGAUCUUUUUAUAGCAAAAUAUUAUUUUUUGUAUAAAUUGUUUUUUUCCCUCUUUCUCUUCUUUUAUGUGUCCUCUUAACAUCCAGGAAAGCUUUUGAUCACAUUUUACUUCAACAACUUUGGAAGGACAUGCUUAGGUCUGUGAUUGUUAAGAUGACUAGGCUACUCUCAGAUUCUUGUCUGAUUAGUCAAUCAUGGUUUUACAUGUUUUGGAGCCUCUUGUGUAGGUUACUAUGUGUUGAUGGAGUGUAAAGCAAUUUUAAAUAUUUUCUACAUAGUAUUUUGUCCAUUUGGUACUCUUUUGUCCCAUUGCAGCCAAAUGUGUUCCCCAUGCUGUAACUUGAGCAAUGUUGUGAUUGUUUCUCUGUAAGUGACCAUAUCAAGGCUGCAAACUCCAUUGGUAUUGUCAAUCUGGAUCUCGAGAUGAAGGAACACAGGACAUGUACAUUCUACUAGAGGGAACACUUGACUUACUUCCUUCUUCCAAAAUAAAUCAACAGCUACAAACACUAAGGUCUCUGCAUCCAGCUGUACUUGGUUCCUGGGGACCAAAUUGCUAAAAAGACAUGUUUCCUAACAGGUCCCACGUGUGCCCCCAGAGUAACCGCAUUUAACCAUACCUUCUACUAUCUGACUUUCAGCACUCGUAGACAUCAUCACAUGAAAUUAUAGUGAGUACACACAGCAGAAUCAUUGAAGGACAGAACUUAUUGUGGAAAGGAAAGAUGGUAAGCUAUCAAAGAUGGGAUCCCUGAGGCCAAACUACACAAACCUGUUUUGGUUGAUUUGGGUGUCAGAUAGAGGUUUGUGUGUUGGAGGCUUCAUCCUCAGUGGGAGGCAAAGCCUUGUGUGAAGUUAUUGCACACUUUGACCUUGACCACUGUUUUCUAUUGUCAUGAAAUAUGACAAACUACCCAUUACCGUUUUCUUCUGCAUUUUAGUCCAAACGGUUAUAACACUGUGUUGUUAAGGAAAAGCAUCCUGAAUGUAUUAUUGUGACAUCACUCUUCAUCCAUCAACUUAAAAACAAAAAGGAUUCAUUGUACUGGAAGACAUCUGUGGAAAGACAAAAAUUCUCAGGAAAACAUUUUUUUGGGAAAUUCCCAAUACAAUGAGCCUAGACAAGUAAAACUCCACAUCAAAGCCGCCUGGCACUGGUUCUAGGUCAUUGUUGUGAAUUUUUUUUUUUGUGUGUGUGUGUGUGUGUGUGUGUGUCUGGGACACAAAUUAAGGAGGGUUUUUUUUUGUCAUUCAGAAUUCCAAGAAAUAUUUUACAGUUUGGAUCUGAAACGUUCCCCCACAUAUUUUGAACGACUAGCCCAUAACCCGUGAUUCUGGAAACUGGCAAGUGGGGCCUAGUUGGCAGAAAUAGAUUCUCCUGGUAGGUCUUCGAAGGUUUUACCCAGUCCCUGGUUCUUGACUCACGUUUAAUUUGCUGGUCUGCUGUGACAUGCUGUGCUCUUCUGACACCACGAAUUGAGUGACCCUACAUGUGAUCUCUACAGCAGUGAACUGGACUUUCAGAAACCUUGAGGCAAAGUGAAACUUUCCUCUUUUAAAAUGCAAAAGCUGUGACCGAAACCUGACUGUGCUGACUUGCAGAAGAAAUUCUGAAGUGUUUGAUGAUGUGGGCUGGACAAGUCCCAGAACAACCCUGCAAGCAGAAUUUAGUAGAUGAUUCUGGUAGAACUUCAGAAAACCAGAAUGCUUAGACAAUGAAUGACAGACUCCUGAGGUUUCAGAUGGGAAUUAGACAGGAAAUGCGUGCUAUACUCUGCAAAUAAUUUGCCUAGGUUCCAUCUAUAUUAUGAGAAUUUGAGUGAAAUUUAAUUUAGAAGUAAUGGACUAGUGAAAUUGAGGAGGAAAUUUCAAGUUAGCGCAGCAUUCAAUCAGUGGCAUGGUUAUUACUGGCCACUUUUAGCCAGGUUUACAGUGAGAAUUGGGAUCAGAAAGUAAAACAGAAAGAUGAAACAAUAGCAGCAGCCAUAUUGUUUGUCAGGAAGGAAGCUUGUUUUUGAAGCUGGAAACUAAGAGGCCUUGAUUGUGAAAGAGACUUAUGCCAAGUAAUUUUGGUGGGAAAAUAGAAAAGGUGGCUGGGGGCUUUUCGUAACUGGCAAGAUCCCAUGUGCUGCAGGCUCUGUGAUGUAAAACUGAAAACCCAUUUACAAGAUUUUUCUUUGAAAAGACAGAAUUCCCAACACCCUGCUAAAGAAGAUCCACCAAGGGAAUUAUUUUCCCAUGCUCAGCCACUCAGACACCUAAAAAGCUGCUACAGUCCCAUCGUCCAAGGAGGCUCAGCCACUCCCUGAGCUGACAGUGGAACUUGUCACCAUCCACACGGUAACUGAUUCUGUGGACAUGCAGAGUCUGAGUGACGGGGUCCUGGAGGCUUCCACCAAGGUUUUGGAGAAAGCAUGGGUGGGUCCUCCACAAGAGAUACCCGAGAAGCUUUUAUGUGCAUCUGUGAGAGUGGUACCCAGGUUGCCACAGAGAUGCCAGGGUCUUGGAGAUGCAGGAACAGAAGAUGCCUGCUUUGUGGUCAUAUAGGAUGCAAAGGAUGCUGAGACAGCCUAGACCUGAGCCGUAGAAACUGGACAUUGAGUUGUGAGACUUAAUGUUUUCCCUGCUGGGUUUCAGUCUUGCUUUGGUCCAGUUCCUCCUUGGGACGGCCUCAUUCUUGCCCCUGUGAAUGUUUGUCUUAUGCCACUGCACAUUAGAAGCAGCUAAUUACCCUGUUGACUUCACAGUUAGGAAUUUGCCUUUGGUGCCCCCUGCUUAUGUGACUCCAUUGAAAAUCAUUCCCGGGGUGAGCAGGGGAAAUCCAUCAAAGAACCAGGCGACCACGUGACCAGCCUCAGAAAGAGGCGGCUCCCAAAUCUAGUGUGGUGGGAUGUAUCUUUGAAAAGCACACCCUGGGUCACAGGGAGAGCCAGUCUGAGUCCCCCAAAGCCACAAGUGAUAUCACUGGGCCCCAAGGCAGGGCGUGCCUUUGUCUUUUCCGUAAGUCACUCCAAACAUCCACUUACGCUCUUUAAUUUGUACCAUUCCUUCAAGGUCUUGAUUAUGUGGUCUAUAGGUCUUUGCAACUGACUUGCAGGAGAAAUUUGGAAGUGUUUGGCGAUGCAGGCUAGAGAAGUCCUAGGAAAACCCUGUAAGCAGAACUUCGCAGGUGGUUAUGGUAGAACUUGAAAGCCAUGACUGAGUACAGACCUGAUUUUGUGCCUAGCUCACUUCUGAUCUUACCUUCAGUGAACUUCUGUUGCCUGCAAGGUGCGGGACUCUCAGCUACUCCUCCAGCACUGUGUCCGCCUGCACGCUGCCGUGCUCCCUGCCGUGAGGACCGUGGACCGAACCUCGGAAACAAUGUGGAAAUCGAGCUUUAAAGUGAUUGCCCUGUGUCACGCAUCUCAGAAGAUGUUGGGACCGACAGUCCAUGUUUCAGCAGCCGGUCACACUUCUGUGCCUCCGUACUUGGCAGCUACAGACCUGCCCAGACAAGCCUUGGUCUCUGGUGUGCAGCUCUGUCACCCAAAGGCAACUGGCAGGUUCGUGUGAGGCCACCGGUGCCAAUUCACCAGGUGUGGCGUCUGCACAGAGAGCGACACUGGUAAGAUGAGUGACACAUGGAGGCUCUGACAAGCUUCUGUCGGUUGGAAUGUGCAUGUCCAGAAUACACACAGGUGUUUCAAACCCUGCAGUGCUUUUCAGUAAGUACCACAUGCCCAUAAAGAUGCCCAUGCAUUUAUUAAGUGGGAACACAGGGUGGCUGAUUCAUUACCUCUUCCUUCUAACCUUGAUAAGAUGGUUAGAAUUUGCUCAGAAAUGCCUUCUAUUGACAAUAGAAACGAUGUACUGUCUCCGUUUCUUCUCUUGUUCCUUAACUUCCCACCCAUACCUGUCUUUUCCUCUCCUGUCACUGUACUCCCUCAUUAGCGUGCAACAAAUUUGCACAUUUUUCCCCUUGAGUAGAUGUAGUUUCACUCUCCUUCCUGACUGGCUGGCCCUCUUACCUUUGGCGAAUAACUUUGCCAGGAACGUUAAGGGAAAGAGUAAUAUUUCCUUUAGGAAAUCUAGAUGUAUUAUCUCAUACAGAUUUUUAUAAGCACUUAGUGUUCCCGUGGAGCACACAGCCACACAGCUAUCCCUUCCUACCUGAAUGACCACUCGGUCCACGGUCCUCUCCUGACCAAGGUUAUUAGCCUAUGGUAGAUUUACUCCAAGUCUGCUUGACACCAGAGUCUAGUCUGAUGUUUCAACACUAAACCAGACUGUCCUUCCAGCAAGUCAGGCCCUCUGUGGCUCUCCGAUGUAACUUUCCCUUGGAAGUGUAAACACUAUGAGUGUUAAGUGUCUUUUUGGAAGUGGUGGUAGACUAUGGCUGGGGCUUUCUGUUCUUAAGUUGAAGAAUGAAAGUGACUCAUCAGAUUCCAUUUGUACAGACCUGAGGACUGGAACUCCCCAACAGCUAGGGGAAAGAAUGCUUUCAAUCAUGUGACAUGGGCUCAUUGUGUCUUAGGCUGAGCUGGAUGACCUCCUCUAACCCCACCAUUUGCUGCAAAGGAAGUCAAGAGACCAAGAAGCUCAGUGACUCGUCUGAGGAUGCAGCUCUGUUUGAGGCAGGCCAAGACUGAAUUUAUUUUUAUUGAAAAUAAAUUGCUUUUCCCAAUCCA
This is a long non-coding RNA of Mesocricetus auratus (golden hamster), 9061 nucleotides long. RefSeq lists it as uncharacterized. The record is from RefSeq and is a predicted model, not a curated record. The transcript is spliced from 2 exons. NCBI's taxonomy places the organism in Eukaryota, Metazoa, Chordata, Mammalia, Rodentia, Cricetidae.